RNAcentral lists this long non-coding RNA (23649 nucleotides) under Nicotiana tabacum (common tobacco). Its description in RNAcentral is "long non-coding RNA (NTAB_LNC011565)". Lineage: Eukaryota; Viridiplantae; Streptophyta; Magnoliopsida; Solanales; Solanaceae. The record is from RNAcentral.
UCAGAUUUAACUUCAUUAUUUGAAUAAGGUCUACAAAAAGGUAUUCUAUUUAACUUUUUUUACCAGAAAACAGAAUGUCCGCCCCCAAGUUUUUUCAAACACAUUAAUUUUAUUCUUCAAAAUAAACGUCACAUUAAAAUGACCACCAAAUUACUAUAACUUAAUCAAGUUCCAUAUGUAAACUUGAACGUCCAGAAAUUGGGCAAAUAAAUUACCCAAUGCACACUCCAAACCACAGUGCUAUUUACUACCUAAUGCAGGAUAAUUUUUUACCUAACUUUAUCCUGCUCAUAUCAGGCAACUGAAAUGUCCUCUGUGAAUGGGUGGGGGGGGGGGGGGGGGGGCAGUACACAAGGAGAAAAAAGGGGAAUCAUAUAACUAUUGGAGACCUAAAUUUCUAUUUUUGGGAAUCAUAAACCUUAAGCUUGGAGUCCUCUCUUCUUUUCAUCGUAUGGUAAGUCAACAGUAUAACCACUUCUUUUAGAUGGGAUAUCCUCAACAUACUCUGUUGCCAACAGUUUGGUAGAGAGACCUUAGUUGUGUGUUCCAUUUAUCUAUGGCAGUAUACUUCUUCAUCCCUUUUGAUCUGCGUGCACGAAUACAUCGUGUAAAACACGUUAGAAGUGAACUUAGGUCGCAAUAAGUAAAUUAAUAAUGGCACAUCAAGGUUAUUAAUUGACCUGUCGCCACGCUCUAGCAGCCGGUUCACUUGAUCAAUGUGGCCAUCAAUCCGGUUAUCCAAGAUUAGGGAGACCAACAAGUCCUCAACGUCUUUUUCUGGCACAUUCAGCUCCUGCAGGUCAAUUAAUAUGAGAAAACCAACUAGGAAGUGCAGUGCAUCGAAUGGAUUAGUAACUGAAUAAUGCGAUAAACUACGAGAGUAGCUCAGUUCACUGUAGGGAGUAUGCAUGUAUCUUCCAAAUAUGAACAUGUAAUUAGUAGUGUUUUAUGCCAUCACUAACACAGAUAGCUGAUAAAACUUAAUCCCUCAUGCUCUGCCUCCUCGCAUGAGGCAAUGAAUAAGACAGAAUACGAUAGAUAAGAGGUUCACUAUGGAAAAGCUGAGAAAGGGAAAAAGGAAGAAUGCCCUAGCAAGAAAGAAGACUGUGAUAACUUAUCACCUUGGAUAUGAAGGGAAUCCGGAUUCUUGUGUAAGGCUUGAUGAGCUUCAGUAAAACCUGGGUUCUGACAUUCCUCAAAAGAUCUUCAAUGUAAUUCCGAAUGAAUGGGUCAUCCAUUAUUGUCCGUCUGUUACUCUGUUAAAAUGUCGAGAAAAGCACAUUCAAAAUGAUAACAAGAAACCAACUACAGACUGUUGGGCCAACAGGCAAUUUUGAAAUUUACAGGAAGGUACCUUAAGAAUUUUCUCGAACUCCAAGAUCUCAUUUCGUUGAUAUGCUGCGAUAAGGUUUGUCAUUGCCAAUAUCUCAGGGUCAUUUUUGUAACUGAAAAAUAUAAACACAAUCAUGUACUGACACAAUGCAGCCAUAGUCCAGUCACAAGAAUGACAAAAUACUGAUGUUGAAUCUCGCAAACAAAAACUUAUCUCAGCAUACUCACGGUUUAGCUUCUUGACCAUCAAAAGGGUUAACUUCAGACUCCAUCAGCAUAUUUGCCAGAACCAAGUACCUAAGUGAAAGGAACCAAACAUAGUGUGACAUUAGGCAAAGCAGAGGUUUGCAAUGGUUAAGACAGAAAUGGAAUCCGCAUACUGUAAUCUUCUGAUGGAAGGUGAAUGUUCAAAACAAUCACCUAGCACCGCAUUACAGCAAUUGACAUGGAACAACUUUAACCCAUAUUUAUAUGCAAUUAACAAAACUCUAAAUUUCUAAAACAUGCAAAAGCAUCCAUUCAGCGAAAACAUAGAGAGAACCACAUCUGAGGCUAUAUCAAGAAAUGGAUUCAGAGUGAAGAGUUAGAAACAUCAGAGACAGUCUUAACCUUAUCAAUUUUUCUUUAUAUAUAUAUAUAUAUAUAUAUAUAUAUAUAUAUNNNNNNNNNNNNNNNNNNNNNNNNNNNNNNNNNNNNNNNNNNNNNNNNNNNNNNNNNNNNNNNNNNNNNNNNNNNNNNNNNNNNNNNNNNNNNNNNNNNNNNNNNNNNNNNNNNNNNNNNNNNNNNNNNNNNNNNNNNNNNNNNNNNNNNNNNNNNNNNNNNNNNNNNNNNNNNNNNNNNNNNNNNNNNNNNNNNNNNNNNNNNNNNNNNNNNNNNNNNNNNNNNNNNNNNNNNNNNNNNNNNNNNNNNNNNNNNNNNNNNNNNNNNNNNNNNNNNNNNNNNNNNNNNNNNNNNNNNNNNNNNNNNNNNNNNNNNNNNNNNNNNNNNNNNNNNNNNNNNNNNNNNNNNNNNNNNNNNNNNNNNNNNNNNNNNNNNNNNNNNNNNNNNNNNNNNNNNNNNNNNNNNNNNNNNNNNNNNNNNNNNNNNNNNNNNNNNNNNNNNNNNNNNNNNNNNNNNNNNNNNNNNNNNNNNNNNNNNNNNNNNNNNNNNNNNNNNNNNNNNNNNNNNNNNNNNNNNNNNNNNNNNNNNNNNNNNNNNNNNNNNNNNNNNNNNNNNNNNNNNNNNNNNNNNNNNNNNNNNNNNNNNNNNNNNNNNNNNNNNNNNNNNNNNNNNNNNNNNNNNNNNNNNNNNNNNNNNNNNNNNNNNNNNNNNNNNNNNNNNNNNNNNNNNNNNNNNNNNNNNNNNNNNNNNNNNNNNNNNNNNNNNNNNNNNNNNNNNNNNNNNNNNNNNNNNNNNNNNNNNNNNNNNNNNNNNNNNNNNNNNNNNNNNNNNNNNNNNNNNNNNNNNNNNNNNNNNNNNNNNNNNNNNNNNNNNNNNNNNNNNNNNNNNNNNNNNNNNNNNNNNNNNNNNNNNNNNNNNNNNNNNNNNNNNNNNNNNNNNNNNNNNNNNNNACUUUAUUAUAUAUAUAUAUAUAUAUAUAUAUAUAUAUAUGUGUGUGAUGGUAGAUAGAGUCUAAUCUAACCACCAAAACAAGUGCAGAAAUCUGCUAUUAGUUACAAAAAGCACGUCGUCACAUUGAUUAUUUCACAUACCAAGCAACAAGUGCGAGAAUACUGGGACUGAACACGGAAACGGGAACUCUUGAGGAAGGGCCGGACCACAAAGGGUCUAUUGUACGCAGCCUUACCCUGCAUUUCUACAAGAGGCUGUUUCCACGGCUUGAACCCGUGACUUCCAGGUCACAUGGCAGCAACUUUACCAGCUACGCCAAGGCUCCCCUUCAAGAACCUUUUAUAAAAUGUAAUUGAGAAAACAACUUAUUUCUGUUUCCCUCCAGAUUAAACAGCACCUCCUCUCCACAUAAACAACUUAGCAGUAAACUGUUUGGCAACUUCAACACUUGGAAUGUCCUACAUGAAAAGGCAUAACCUGGAACCUUAAUCUUAAUCACCUCCAAUUUAUGAAGCCAAUAAUGCAUCCCAUACCAAGAGAAGCAAAAGAUUCGUUUACGUCCAAUCACCUAUGCCAGUGGCCACCAAUGUCUAAUGAUUAUCAAUACAAUCCUCCCUCCACAACAGACACAUCUCGAAUCUUCAUCAUAGCCUUAGUGAGUAUUUAAUCAACCAUGAAAGGUGCAGGAGAUAAAUAACAGAAAAUUGGUACCUCAGAGAACAUUAGCAAAUUUUCUCCAAGUAGUAGACAGAUGCAUCCUGUCAUAAUUUAAGUGUUGUGUGCGUUUGCAAGUUUGCAUUGAACUCUUUAACGAACUUCCUUCAAUUCUAGUUCUAAAGUACUACCUAAUGUCUUUAUGUCUUUAAAUCUAGCAUUUUGAGAAUGAUUUGAGGCAUCAUUAAAUAGGUAAGAUCCUCAAUUUGACGUCCUGAUUAAGGCCUAGGAUACAGCACAAUUACAUAUGCAAAGCAGUUGCAACAGUUUAAUUUGGUACAGAAAUGUCCGUUUUCCCAUAUAUACUGCAGGUAUACAACACCCUGUUUCAGUCACAUGCAUAUCAUCUGAGCACACUUCAAUAUAUUUCAUCCAACCAACUGCAUCACGAGGUACAUGAGGUACACUGCCUCUCUUUCAGGAUAAGAAGCUACAAGCUUGAGGAGCAAAAAUAUGGAAACAUUUGACACUAUUUUGAGUGGCUUGACGAUAAGAGUGGUAGGGACAAAAGUAAAAGACGAGUACUGAAAACUAUUCCCUUCACUUGGUUAGGAAAUAAAAGGAAGAAAAAGCCGAGAUGCAACCCUCCCAAAUUUGAAGGGGGGAAGGAAGCAAAUUUUCCUCGUCGCGGAAAGUAGAAAACAAUAGAAGAGAACAGAUCCGUAUAGGUGAUAGCACUAGUUGAGAUUAACCCUUAGUCUUGUUGACACACCUACAUUAGUCCAACAUUUGCUAGGAGUCUAUAAAAUCUUGUUGGAAAAUUUGUAUGUCAGUAGAAAACGUAGAGAACUUCUAAGGUUAGAGAACCAAAUUCAUUAAAUGCUCAAAGGAGACGGGUCUACUCGAAGCAAAAUGGAUAGUGAGGAUUCAUAUGCCAACCCCAACUAGCUUAGAUUGAGGCUUUAUAGUUGUUUGUUGUGUCAUGUUAAGCCAAACCACCAGAGGUCGAUGUUAAAACAUCACAGAGAGAAGUAAGAUCAGUGACUUCACUCUAUUGCACCAAACAUAGCGGCAAGAAAUGCGAGCAAUGGUUCGACUACAUGAUUUAAGUUUAUCAAAUAUAGGGUAAAACAUUCAGUUUAAAAGGCCAUUAAUUCCAUGUCAAGCACAUUACAAAAGUAAUGGUUAGUGAUUAAGUAACAAUCCAAAAGCUUGAACACAUAGUUAAUGGUUAGUGAAAAACUUCUUUUUGUUAUUUGACAAGUACUUGUGGAAAAACUUUCUACUAUUGCUUCAAUAGGAGUACAAUUAAUUUUGUUAGAUAAUGAUUAUUCCAAGACAAACUGCUUUGAUCAUGCUUUUUCAACACAUGAUCUCCUAUGUUCUUUAAUGCAGCAACCACGAGCUACAGCUUGUAGCAAUCAGUAAUACAGACGUCCAGGAACUAGCAGCCAAAGACUACAUUAAUAAUUUCAAUUUCGUUGUAGUUUUAUUUUUCUCUUGUGUCCUUAGCAAGACGAAAGUGGAAAUGCCAAAGGAAGCAAAUAAAUGCACACACAACCUACGCAUAUGAAGCACAAACAGGAAGUACAGCACACAUACUUUAGGCACUGGAUACGCCUAUGAUUCCCAGCUUCAUCAUAGUUCUUGAAAGCUUCAAAGAAGUCUGUAGCUGCCUCUGCCCACUUUCUCUCCGCCAUAUGCAUUUUACCUCCACAUUCGCGAAUGAUUCCCAUUAUUCUUGGAUGAGGGAUUGCUGACUUGACUGAAAGUGCUUUGUUGUACAGUUCCUGGGAUUAUACUCAUAUUAUGCAUGAAUUAGGGAUUGAAAACGGCAGCUUAUCAGUUCAAGCUAUGUUGCUAGGAUCCUCCAAAAAGACGACAGAUGCGCUCGGGUCCUCCAAAAGAAAGUUAUGCAUUUUUAGAGGAUCCGACAUGGGUGCGUUGGCAUUUUGGAAGCUCCGAGCAACAUAGACCUCAAAAAGAUAUAAAUUAAGGAAAAUGAAAUGUCAAGCAAGUUUUAAAGCAAGCAUGCAUCCUCUGUAAUGUAAUAGUUAAUACGACUGGAUAGAUGUUUUCAAGAUAUUAAUGCCAGAAUAAAUACCAGAAGGUUAAGAAAUUAUGGUCAUAAUACAGAUAUAUACUCCGCAUGGAUAUAAAGUUAUAAACACAUCAGGGUCUUCUGUGGCCCCACUUAAAAUAUCAGAAAUUUAAAAUAUGAAUGAUUUCCCGUAGAGGGGUCAUUUUUUGGCCCCAUUCCAAUAAAUAGUGCGAUCAAAAAGUUAUGGCUUUUUUACUAUUUGUCUACAACUUUUUGACCGUCUCAUUUAUUGGAAUGAGGCCAAAGAAGACCCUUAUACAGGAAGCAUUCUUAAAAUAUUAUGGCUCAUUAUUUUCAACGUGAAAAUAUUACCUCACUCAUAUUUGAUCACAUCUGAGUAGUAGAUAACGCCUAAAUAGUGAGAUUUCGGGUAGAAAUAGAUUUGAUCAAAUCCUAUUUUAGCAACUUUGACCGGACAUUCCCUACCGAAAGAGCAGAAGUAAUUUACGACUACUACAAUUAUAAGGUCUCUUUGAUACCAUGUUAUAAAUCUUUUCGGGAAGAGAUGAAGAGAAGUUGUCUUCUCUCUAACUUAAUACUUCCUCCGGUCCUUUUUAUUGAUCUUUUAGCAUUUUUUAUUUGGUCCAAAAUAUUGAUUUUUUUAUUGAGACAUUGUACUUGUUGCACUGAUGGACUAUAUUAAAUACGAUAGUAAAGCAUUUGUUGCACUACUUGAUUAUAUUUAUUAUUAUGACCGACCUUGAUUUAAUGUUGAAAAUAUACUCCCUCCUGUCCUUUUUAUUUGAUUGUUUAGCCUUUUGCACACCUAUUAAGAAAUCUACUUUGGAACAUUAAUUAAGAAUGCUAUUGACUAAAUUAACCUUUAUCUCUUCUCAAAUUUACUCAUAGGAAAUUGUAAGGACUUUUUAGAAAAUGGUUUAGAUCAUUUAUUAGCAAGGUAACUUAGAAAAAAUAAUACUUUCUUGAUUUUUGGACCAAAUAAAAAGGACCGAAGGGAGUAAGAUAAUAUAGUUCAAUGGUGCAAUUAAUGCAUUACCGGAAAAUCAAGGUUGUCGUAAUAAAUGCAGUUUAAUUGUGCAAGAAUGCCCAACUAUCAUAAUUAAUAUACUAAAACAGCGUAACAAAUGAAUCAUGCUCAAUCUUUUAUUGUCUUGACACAAUCUCUGUAAUUUUAUGAUAUUUUCAUAAAUAAUACCUGUAUAUAGGUGUUUCUUGUAGCUCAUUCAUAUCAAGUUAGAAUAAAAUAAGUUAAUUUCGCCUCUUUCUCGACUGCUCCAGUGACUGUUCUAACCUUUUCAAGUCAUUAUUCUAGUCGUUUUUAAAGGGACAUGUGCCACUAUUCGUGUCAAUAUUCAGUGCUAACAUGUCAAUGUCGUCGUGUAGAGACAUCUUUCUAAUCAAUGAGUAGCUAACACCAGGUCUCCAUUAAGUGACAUGCCACUAUGCACUUAUCCAGUCAUCAAGGCCACAUUACUAAGCAUUAAUUUUUUCAACAUAUCAAACUUGAUUUUACAGCUUUUUAUUUGCAAACAUAAGUUGUUUCACCACAUUGAGUUUAAAGAUUGUAUCUGAAUACAAGAUAAUGUAACAGUGCAUUUAUCAUCGCUACCAGUCAACGUUUAAUUACCGCCAAGUAUGGCAUAAAACUGUUCGGCCAUUGCCACGUUACUAAAGAGUAAUCUUUUCAGCACACUCAACUUGAUUCUCCAAUUGAUUUGAAAACCAAAGUUGUUUCACCAUCCUAAGUUUGAGGAAACGUGUUGAGAAGAAAGCAACUAAUUCAGCUAGGAGGUGCAAUAAACUCACCAUUGUCAAAGUCAAGUUUGGCUCCGCAAUAACAAAUAUAGUAAAACUUUGUAAUAAAUUCAUUGCUAUCAUAAAUGUAAUCAAGCGGUUCAACAAAUAACUCACACUCAAUCCUUCAGUAAAUAAUGCAUAUAAUCUUAAUUUUCUACCCUACAUUCACAUCUAUAAAUAGAUAACUCUUGUAACCCAAAUGCGUAAAGUAAAUUGCCAAUCAAGUUAGCACCAAGUUAGAGAAAAGACAACAAUGACUCUCUUUCUUCCCCUCAAGAUUUCUCACACUUAUCAAAAGAAUCCUUCUAAACCUACACUAGCCUAGAAAUGGAUAGAAAAGCUUCAAUAAACGUAAAUGUAAAUAUCAUGAUUUAUGAACGAUUGACAACUUCUGCGUUCAAGUUAAGGAUCUCAUCUAAAUAGACUGCUCUACCAAAACCAUUGUUAGAAGCAAAGUAAACAUCUCUGAAUGACAAGAAGAAUAAGCUGCCUAAUCCCCUGAUACCUCACUGCCAUUCUGCCUGUGUAGGUAUAUGAUUGAUUACAGCUGUUUAACCCUUUUCCUAUGAGCGGUUCCUGGCUAUUCUACAAUCAGCAUCCUACCGGUUCCGCUAUAACUCCAUUUAUCACCAGGGCACAUGCGCCUUAUCAACAAACCGGCAAAGGAUCGAGGAAAUACAGAGAGAAACCAGAGAGCAGAUUUUAACAGAAUGAAGUUCAAUAAUUUGCCCUGGUGAUGGACGCAUUAACACACCAUAUUCAUGGGGAGGUGCCAUGGUGUAUGCUAUUCGUUGAUGACAUAGUUUUGAUUGAUGAGUCGCGAGCCGGUGUUAACGAAAGUCUGGAGGUUUGGAGACAGGCUCUAAGGGUGUCAAGUUGAGCAGGACGAAGACGGAAUACAUGGAGUGUAAGUUCAGCGUUGAGCCGAGGGAAGUGGGCGCGGAUGUGAGAAACACAGGUCAUCCCAAUUAGAGGCAGUUUCAAGCUAUGUUGCGCGGACUCUGCAAAAAUGGUGUCGGGUGCGCGUCGGAUCCUCCAAAAGUAGUGCAUUUUUGGAGGAUCCGACACGGGUGUGGCAACAUUUUUAGAGAGUCCGCGCAACAUAGGUUUCAGUACCUUGGGUCGAUUAUCCGGGUGGGGUGGAUGAAGUGGAUGUUAGCAUCUGGAGUCCUAUGUGACAAGAAUGNNNNNNNNNNNNNNNNNNNNNNNNNNNNNNNNNNNNNNNNNNNNNAGGAUGGAUAAGAUUAGGAAUGAUGAUAUUCGGGAGAAGGUGGGUGUGGCUCCUAUUGAUGAAAAAAUGCGGAAAGCGAGGCUCAGAUGGUUCGGGCACGUACAGAGGAGAAGCCCAGAUGCUCUGGUAAGGAGAUGUGAGCAGCUAACUUUGGAGGGCACGAAAAGAGGUAGAGGGCGGCCUAAGAAGUAUUGGGGAGAGGUGAUCAGGCAAGACAUGGCGAGGCUUCAGAUUCCCGAGGACAUGGCCCUUGAUAGGAAGCUGUGGAGGUCAAGUAUUAGGGUUGUAGGUUAGGAGGUAGUUGAAUCUUUCCUUACUUCGUACCUUUGUGAGGCUAGUCUGGUAGGGUUUGUGUCUGAGACAGCUAGUGGCAAUGUUGUGUCUUGCUACUCUUUCGUUUCUCAUAGUGUCGGGUCUAUUUAUUGGCUAUCGCUUUUGCUUUGCACCUAUCUUCUUGUUUUCAUGAUAUUGUUAUUUUUCCUAUGAUUUCUGUUGGUGGUACUGAUAUUGUCUCUUUUCGUCUUCUUGAGCCGAGGGGCUUUCGGAAAUAGCGUCUCUACUCCCUCGGGGUAGAGGUAAGAUCUGCGUACACACUACCCUCCCCAGACCCCACUAGUGGGAUUUUACUGGGUCGUCGUUGUUGUUGUUGUUGUUGUUGAAGUUCAACUAGGAAGGUGAAGAAUUCCAUACUGCUAGAUACUUCAAACAAUGACAGAAACAUCUAUAAUUCAUUUCCUAAUAUUUCUUGGAGGAAUUUAAUAGAUUUUUACUAAUCCGGGAAAAGAAAAGAAACACUAAAGCAAAUUAUGUGUGUUUUACAAAGACUAGCAUUCUUUCAAAGAGUCUCAAUCACUACCUUCAGAAUGUACUGGUUAUCUUUUCUGGGGUACUUUUGUAUACAAAAGAGUGAGCUUCUAGAAGUAACAUUCUUUCAAAAUAAAAGAGACCACAAAAACCAAGAAAACUUAAACAUACAGAAGUAUCUGAAAUUGGCAUUUGAAUUGAAAGAAACUGACUGUAAAAAGUUUGGCCAAAAAUGAAGGAAAUGACGCCUGAUUCUGCUCAAAAGCAAGUAUAUUAUUCAAUAAAUGGGAAGAAAAAGGUAUUAAAAUACCUUCAGUUUUUUGUUAUUUUUUGUCUCUGUGUACAUUUGAAUCUCAAUUGCAUAUACCUCCAACAAUUGUGUCCCUUUCUUCUGAUCAUCAGUGCCAUCUUCUUUCUUACAAGAUUUGUGGAGCUCUUUCAGAAUCUAACAAAGUUGUCAAGUUAUGUUCAUGAAAACCAUAGCAAAAUAAAAGCUACAGAUACUAAUCUGAGCAAGCAAGAUACCUUGCUCAUUCGUCCAUAUUCCCCCAUGUCAAACCAAAUCUGGCAAAGCUUUAGAUUCGUCUUGAACCAUAACCUCUGUGAAAGAAAGAGUGGGUCGUGAGACCUUAACGAAAGACACAAGAACUUCGAGAGAAACCUGCGAGCUGACUCCUAUAUGCCAAAAGAGGAAUACACUCUGACCUCAUUCUUAGCCUCUUCAAGGGCUUUCAGUGUUGUCUGGUAGAACUCCUGCAGAAGGCUGAAGUUCUGACUAGCUGAUCCAGAAACAAAAUCCAUAAUACUGUUUAUACACUUCUCACUAUAGUUCCGUGUCACAGCCGAUUUUAUGUAGGUCAGCAUUUCUCGAUAAGCAUCCAUCAUUUCCUUGUACUUCCCUAGCUUAUAGUAAAGCUUAACAGUUUGCUUUAAAGCUUUAAAUCCCCUGGAAAUGAUGAUAGUUGGUAACAAUACAAAAGCAAGUUGUAGCUCUAAAAUUCUUAAAAGCUUUAGGAAACCCAUUAGUUAAAAGCAUAAGGCAUGAGACCUGGAUAAGAGUCUUACACGAGUUGGAUGGGUAAACAAUAACCAGCCUUGUAGCAUUACAAACAUGAGCUAUAAGUCUAUAACUAGAAAUUUUGGAUAAGGGAUAUUAAGCAAAUUUGCAAUUCCAAUUCAGAGAAGAGAACAUAAAAAAGACUGCAGUUCAAAAAUAAACUAAAGAGACUCCAUCUUCAUUAGUGAUUUAAAAUUUGGUGUGUCAUAUACACACAGAAAUGAGAAAAAGAGUGGAUAGAAGAAAGACAGGCUUGUGUGAUAGGCACAUGGCACGAGUUCGAAUACUAGUUGGUGAACCAAGCUUGGCAUUUAAGUGAAGAAAGGUAGAGGGCAAACCCAUUAUCGUACGAGCUUCAAACCUAAAAUAGUGCAUUUCUCGGUCAGUAAAAAAAAUAAGAAGAAGAAAUAGAGGCCUGCUAUUUGAAUCUGACCUCUUUUUUUAAAACUGAGGUAAGUGAUUUUGACUUUCAGGUCAUAUUAAUAGUUGCAUGCUGCAUAAUCAAUGAGUUUUUAUCAAUGCAGCGUUAGAUACUUGGGAAAAACUAACUCAGAUUUCAGCAUCUCCAUAAUGCACAUACUAAUGAUUGGCCGGGUUUCCCUCCACUUUACUUCACCAGUUUGCAGGUUAAUAAUAGAAAAGCAACUUUUAUUAGAAUGCACGUUCCUGAUGCCAUUUCCUAUAUAUGUAAUGGCACAUAGGCAUCAUCACACACCAUAAUAUAACUGAUCUCACAAAUAUAUGGUACGCUUGUUAAUAAUUUUAUCUAGCCACCACCCAAGACAGCACGCUGAAAAGGUUACCAGCAAUAACUGCAAAAUUUAGACAUUCAACUCCUUACCACUCUGCCUUCUCAGGUUCCAUACGUACUACUUCAGCAAAACCCUCAAGUGCUCCUUCGGGAUCAGUUUCGACCAAACCUAUGCAUGACAUCAUUGCAAAAUAUUACUUCAGUGCAGUGUUUAGUAUAGUGAAACAGAAGUGGAUCAAUACAAACAGAAAGUAUAUCUCUAGGCAGCACUACCAAAAAUUACAAGAGGAUGCAUAACAAUACAAUACAAAGGCAACACUGUUACCUGGUAGUUAGCAUCACAAAAGGUACCUUACAACUGAAUAAAACUAAAAGGCAGCAUUUAUCAAAUUACCAUUACAUAAAGUUUGGUUUUGCAGUUACUCAAUCUUUAUAUUGGCUGACUUAUCCAAAUAAGCAGUGUGAUUGUUAGCCAAUAGUUAAGAAGCAAAUGAUACAUGCACGCCUUUCACACUAGCAACCAUAGCAAGGGCCUAACCACUACAAACAUAGUUCAACAGGAAAAAUGGAAAUCUCAUAUUCUGGCCCAGGAGAUUGAGCUCUUUUAAAAGUUUUUGAUGCGCUCUCCAGCUAUUCCAGAACAUAUGUUCUAUGACCAACAGAAACACGCUAUCUUCCAAUACAGUAUUGUAAGUAAUGGUUUAAUCAAAGUAAUAUGUAUUAUAGUCAAGAUAUUUGUAAAACAAAAACAUUCUCCUUAGAUAGAACAUUUUCCAAUAUAAGGUAACCAAAUAAUGAAAAAUUUCAUGGAGGAAAAUAUUUUCCUAACAUUUUUACUUUUGUUUUUCUAAAAAUGGUAAUAAGUCUAACACAUUUACGUUAGGUCUUAUACUCUCUAGGAGCGGUUUAACCUUUCAAAGAUUUAUACGAUUAGAAAAUAUUCAAAACUUCGAAUACUUGCUUUUUAUUUGUAUUUGCAUAUUGGCAUGAGAUAGAGUUUAAAUGGCGUAAACUGGGACAAUGAGGAUUCAUAUAGCCGAACCCAACUUGUUUGAAACUGAGGCGUAGUUGUUGUAAAGACAACCCCGAGCAUAACCCAGAACGCAGAAUAAUACAGCGAAAAUCACGAGAAUAAUCAAAUUUAUCAUCGUACUUACAGCAUUGAACACUCAAAUAAAAUCUGCAGAAAAAUUCUCAAUUUUGUUUGGUUAUUAACUACAUUUAUUACCAGGGAAAAAGAAUAUGUACUGUACAAUACAAAGAAUCCCUAAAGCUUUAAACUGGACAAAAAAUUCUCAAAAUUAAAGUUGAAAACCUUUGGAAUUGUAGCAUUGAUUCUCGAUAUCAACAUCUUGCUCUUCCUGCUCCUCGUCCGAGUACUCGAAUCCGUAAUCCUCCAUAUCCGCAUCUGCGACAUACAUAUAUAUUCACAAAUAUCGGAUCAAAUUUAUAUAUGAUACAGAAAAUUAACGGGAAAAUUAUUGAAUUUGAUGUGAUUUUGAGUAUUACCAGAACCCAUGGCUGAUUUCAGCUGACAGAAGACAAUUGAAACAAAGGAAAAUUGAGAGUUUGAACUGUGAAGUAAGCGAAUUGUGCGUCCGUGUUUUUGAGUUCCGAAAGUCAGUACUGGAAAAUAAAAAAUAAAGUUCCGUACUGAAGGGUUUGUUCGAUUCGGGCCCGAGUUCUAACUUCUAAGAGAAUCCCAUUACAUCAAAUUCAAAUAUGUGACUUGCAUAUGUUUAUAUUUAUUAAUUGAUCAAUAGUUUAACGAUAUGUAUUCUCACUUAACUUUUAUCUAUUAGGCGCCCGGACAUAAAAAUUAUAAUUUUUUAAAUAAAAUAAUAUUUAGAGUUAAUUUGAAAAAUAGUAUUUGAAAUUUAAAAUAAUAUUUAGACAUAUAUUUCACUUGAAAAAAUAUUACAAUUUAGUGAGUGAGGGAAUUUUUUUUUGAAAAAGUGGUCAAAAUCACUUUUUGGUUUUUGAAAAACUCAUUUUCAAAAAAUUUCCAAUAACUUGCACAAUAUUACGGAUAAAUACAUUUUUGAAAAAAGGAAACUUUUUUAUGGACAAUAUAAAGUAUUUACCUUGACAAGGUGGGUUACUGUGAUGGUAAGCACACUCCACUUCCAACCAAGAGGUUGUGAGUUCGAGUCAUCCCAAGAGCAAGGUGUGUAGUUCUUGGAGGGAAGGAUGCCGAGGGUCUAUUGGAAACAGCCUCUCUACCUCAGAGUAAGGGUAAGGUCUGCGUACACACUACCCUCCCCACACCCCACUAGUAGGAUUAUACUGGGUUGUUGUUGUUGUUGUUGUUGUUGUACCUUAGCACUGCGUGGGACAAAAGAAUGAAUUGAUAAAAGAAGUUUCAAAUGAGGAAAAUUUGAAUGCUAUUAAGGAUAUGCCCCAUGAUAAGGCUCCAGGGGUGGACGGAUUUCCCAAUGAAUUUUUUACUAAGCACUGGGAGGUUGGCAAUGAUAUUUGUGAUGCCACUAGACAAUUCUUCACAACUGGAGAAAUGCACAGAGGAAUCAAUGGUACUGCUGUGACUUUAAUUCCUAAAGUGCAAAACCCAAGCCAUGUCAAAGAUUAUAGGCCCAUUGCAUGUUGCACAACUUUGUAUAAGAUAAUCACCAACGUUCUUACUGCUAGAACUAAAAAGGUCAUUGGUGGACUCAUUGGUGAAUCACAAUCUGCAUUCAUUGAAGGUAGAAGCAUCACUCACAACAUCCUAUUCACACAUAGAACUGUUCAAAGGCUAUAACAGGAAAGGAAUUUCCCCAAGAUGUGUACUGAAGGUGGAUCUGAGGAAAGCAUAUGAUACUCUGGAUUGGUUUUUUUUGGAGAGAAUGCUGAUAGAGCUUGGUUUUCCUCAUAAAUUUAUCAGUUGGAUAAUGGAAUGCAUUACAACACCGGCUUACUCUCUUACCAUGAAUGGUGGAUUGACAACACCUUUCAAAGGAAGGAGGGGAAUCAGGCAAGGAGACCCUAUGUCUCUCUAUCUAUUUGUCCUGGCAAUGGAGUAUCUAUAGAGGGAGUUUGCACAGUUUGCAAAGAACAAAGACCUUAAAUUUCAUCCUAGAGCAAAAAGCUAGGAGUGGUACAUAUUUGAUUUGCAUAUGACCUUCUUAUGUUUUGUAAGGCUGAAAUAAGCUCUAUUAGAUUAUUGCAGCAUACCUUUCUAAAGUUCUCUAAUGCCUCUGGCCUUCAAGAAAAUGCAGACAAGAGCUCUAUUUACUUGGCUAUUAUUUCAAACAAUCUGAAACAGGAUAUCCUACAAGAACUGGGCUACUCUGAAGGCACUCUACCCUUCAGAUAUUUUGGUGUUCCCUUGGCAUCUAAAAAGCUAUCAGUCAUUCAGUGUUGGCCAUUAGUAGAGAAGAUCACACGGAGGAUUAACUGUUGGACUGCCAAAUUACUCUCAUAUGCAGUCGACUACAGUUAAUAUAGUCAGUUCUAUUUGGAAUUCAAUCUUACUAGGCACAAGUUUUUCUAUUACCUAAAAAGUGAUGAAGAUAGUUGAGGCUAUAUGUAGGUAAUUCUUAUGGACAUGAACAUCUAUUGUCUCUAAAAAGGCACUGGUUGCAUGGGAGAAAGUAUGUUUACCACAAGCUGCAGGGGAGGCUAAAUGUGAUGAACAUGAUCUACUGGAAUAAGGUAGUUGUGGCAAAACAUCUGUGGGCGGUGGCAAAGAAGAAAGAUUGCUUAUGGAUCAGGUGGAUUCAUACCUUCUAUAUAAAGCACCACAUAUUGGAAAAUAUUCCAAUACCUGAGAAUGUAGCUUGGAUAGUUAGGAAAAUUCUGAAGACAAGAAGAUUCAUUGGAGAACUUCAAGGUAUUCAGGGAGAUCUCAAUAGCAGACUAUGCCAAUUACAACAGGGAGAAGUCUUUAGCAUCAAAAAGCUUUAUCGUCUGCAAUUCCCUCAGUUACAACGGGUGCCUUGAAAAGGUAUUAUUUUGCAACCAAAUCUACAUCCCAGAUUCAAAUUCAUAUUGUGGUUAGCACUAUAGAGAAGAUUGGCUACAGUUGACAGGCUUCUGAAGAUUGGUAUUCAAGUUCCUCAGCAAUGUGUCUUCUGUAAGCAAGUUGAUGAAUUGUUUGACCACUUAUUCUUUGAAUGCAUUAUAACCAAGGCAAUAGUGACAGUUGAUAGCAUAUGCAGAGAAAUCGCAAUACAUAUACACACUAGAGGAAGAUCAAUACAGAAAUGGCAAGGAGCACUUAAUCAGCUGAAUUGUUAUCCUUAGGCUACAAUGUAGUAUGUGCUGAUCUUUUUAGGAUCUUAGUCGGAGUAUCUACAUACUUAGACUACAGGAAUUGAUGUAAUUAGAAUUGUGGAUGGUCAGCAUCUACUUGCUUUGUAAAGAUACUUUUGGAAUGAAUAGAAACCACUAUUUACCAAAAAAAAAAUAUUUACUUACUAAAUAAUAUAUAUUCUUACUUUAAUUAAAAUUUGUUAUUAAUUAAUUUAUUAUUAAUACUAAUUACGAGUAAGUAUUUUUCAAGAUUACAGAUUGAUAUUGUUUGUUUUUCAAAAUGAAUAACAGCAUUCGAAGUGCAAAAGCGAAAUUAUCUACGUUUCACACUAUAAAAUCCAAUAUCAAUCUUUCUAAUCAUUUCAAAAAUGUUGAGAGGUAAUACAGAUUUCCCACAAAAUUUGAAUGUGUAACUAAAAACUCAAUUAUAGUUUAAGGGGGAUUUUUAUAUCCCAUGAAAAAUCACAAUCGUGUUCCUCAAUGGUGGAUUCUUGACUUGAACUAUUCAGCAUGUUCUACUGUAUACCUUCCAUCUCCGUACCCUAAAACUCAAAAGUUAUUACAAAAAAGUUACAUUUGCUCGAAGAUUAAAAAUAUUUACACACAGAUCACUAAUUAGAAAAUUGCAAGUAUGAUAUACUUUAAUUGAUGAGCUGGAAAAAUAUAGAUAACUAAGAAAUUAAAACCUACUAUCACAUGUUACACUACAUUGAUCGUUUAAAAAGUCUUUAUACCCAUGAGUAUAUAUAAUUCAUAACGAACUAAAUUGUUGCAUAUUUCACAAUUAUCUUCUAAACUUCUAUUCCAGGAUAAUGUUACAAUAACCACCUUUUAUAAAGCUCUUCUUAUUCAUUUGAAAACAAAUAACAUUUAAAUUAAUUACAACUAUUUAUGCUUGUCUUUCGCGAACAUUUUCCCUGUCAAACCACAAGUGAGAGCUUCAUUAGGUAUAUUCUUGACAAGAUGAACAUCUUCAGCAAAGACAACUCCCAUGCCUAUAUGCAAAUGAGGUUCAAUAUGACAAUGAAAAGCCCAAACCCCUGGAUUAUUUGCCACAAAUCUUAGUGCAGUCCAUCCAUAGGGAAAAACAACAAUUGUGUUCUUCAACGGAGGAUUAUUCAAAUUGAAUGUCGUCUCAGCAUCUUCUGUUGUAAAAUCUCCGUCUCCAUACCCUAAAACCCAAAAAUUAUGUCCAUGCAAAUGCCAAGGGUGAAUUUCACUGACGUUUUCGGCUAAGGCAUUGGCAUUUUGAAGGAUUAUGUCAAUGGUGGUAUUGAAUUUCAACAUGUAAACACCAUUUCCAUAUGUGGAAUUAGGGUUUGGUGGUGGUUUCAUGAUAUCAUAGUCUUUGGAAAAAGUAUCUGGUGGAGAUUUUGUGUCAAAUGCAUUAUUUAUGCCAUAUUUUAUGGAUCCUAAAUAGGGUGUAGUUGGAAAGACUAAGGAAAUGUUGUUGAUAGCCCAUCUGGUGUAUCCUUCAAUCCUGUUAUAAACAGAUAUAAUUAAUAAAUAUAAUCUCAUAUUUUUAAUAAUUUACUCUUGUAAUUAGAUGAUGUAAUCACAUAACUAAUCUACAUAGUAACAGAACGAAAGAGGUCCUAAAUUCAUGUCUCAUCAUCAUUUAUCAACAAAAAUAUUUUCACAUGUUUUGCCUAAGAAAUAAUUUAUGUUUUAUAUACGGACAACACGUAUAUAAACUUUUCAUAUCAUCACAUUAAAUCUUCAUAGCAAGCUUGAUAUGGUAAUAUAAAAUAGAGUAAUAAUUUACUAUAUUUUUUUUUUAUAGAUUUAAGUUAUAUAUAUACUGACAGUGAAAAGAAUUCUUACAUUAUUAGUAUAUAUUUAUUUAACAUGUUACCAUAUGUAUCUUACUAUUUUUUUCAAUUUAUCAGACAUUAAUUAUAAAAGGUUACCUAUAACUAUUUUUUAACUUGAUUGCAUAAAUUAUUUUUACCUCAUUGAUACAUAAAACUUUAAUUCAAGAAAUUUGUUUCAUCUUUCUAAUUUUUUAACGAGCAUGUCCCACUGGAUAGUGGAUAGUAAAGAUACUUUUUUUUCAAUACUAUAUGCCUAUAUAAUUUAUGCGUCAAAAAUACUUUAUAUUAUAUUCUUUUUAAAUUCUAUUUUCAGUUAAAUAUUGUCAAACAAAAUAUGAAUGGAGGGAGUACCUGUUUUGAGUAUUGAGGAGCAAAAAACGACGAUUGUAUUGAGUUGGAGGCUUAGGUGAUCCAAUCAAGCCAAAGAUUUUCUUAUAGAAGACUUUGCUGUAGUUAUAAUCAUUCCAAAGAGGUGGCAAUGGUGGUGGUGAAAUUGGAAUUUUUGAACCAAAAUUUGGAAUGUAAUUCAAUAUAGUGAGGCCUUGAGAUGUUUUAGGUUCUCUUGCUCUUACAUUGACUGAAAUCCAGUAAUUGUUUGAAGGGUUUUGAUCAGUUGUGAAGAGAAUUGAAUAGCUUUCACCUGAAUAAAUGUCCAUAUUUUCCAUAAGAAAUGGUUAUAUACUAUACCAUAAAGAAUUCUUACACUAUCGAUCAGUAGAUUUAACAUGUUAUAGUUGUAUAACUUACUAUUUUUAAGUUUGGUAAAUAGUAUUAAUCAUAAAAAUGACAUGCAACUGGCUUUUACGUGACGUAGUCGGUGACGGAUAUAGUGUAGUACUAGUUAUCGGUUCAAUUGAACUCAUAACUUUUGACGCGGAGUAAAAGUUUAUGUAUAAAAAUUCAUUAAAAUUAGAAAAAUAAUAUAUAUGAACUCAUAACUUUAAAAAUAUAAUGAGUUCUAUUCUAAAAACUUUAUAACUUGAACCCAUUAAGUUUAAAUCAUGGAUCCGCCUCUGGACAUAGUUAUAUAAUUAUAUAUUUUUUAUUCCGUCACUACAUAGAACUUAAACUCAAUAAUAAUAAUUUACUGAAAUCCAGUAGUUGUUUGAAAGAUUUUGAUCAGUAUUGAAGAGAAUUGAGUAGCUUUCACCUGAAUAAAUAUCCAUAUUUUCUACAGAAAAUGGUUGAAUGUAGUUUCCAUCUGCUUCAACCACCACCAUUUUGUGACCCUAUAUAUGUAAAAUCAAAACAAGUAUCAGAAUUAUUUCUUAAGAGCUUUUGUAAAAGAUAGUCAACUUCAUUUUUUUGGGUCGAAUUUAGAAUUUAUUUUAUGGGUUUGAGUUCAGGUUCCAUCUCAACUCAUUUGAUUUACUAGUUUUGAAAUUAAUUAUUUAUACUUAUUUAAUUUAGCAAGACUAUGUUGUGUGAGCCAUAAAAUUACUGGUUUCGAAUGAUCAUGUACCUUACAUUUUAUAUUUGUCCUUAGAUACAGAUGGAUUUUCAUGGCAAAAUAGUAACAGACGACCAAUGUGCUCAUAUUUGUUGUUUACGUCGAAUCAAUAAACAAAUUUUAUGUAUUUGCAACGUACUUUUAUUACUUAACUAUGGUUAAUUAUUGUACGUUCUCACUUCAUUUUUAUCACUUAGCCUAUUAUAAGUUAAUAAGGUCUGGUGUAAAUUAAUCUCAAGCGCAGAUAAAUAUAAAGAUAUAUAAUGAGAUUAUAAAUCAUAAUUUUAUAGUUUAAAAUACUAUCUUAACGAUAAAAAGAAUCAUAAUAGAAAAAUAUUGACUCCUUAAAUAGAGUAGUAGUGUAAUUUUCAGUUUUAGCCACUUUGAGAAUUACUUUCUCCAACUUUAUUUGGUGGGCACAAAGGUCUCCCAUUUAUGAACUAAACUUUCUUAAAGCUAUGUUGUUUUCAACUUUGCACCACUGAUGUUAACAAAUUCUCUUUUCAAAUGCUGUCCCAUAUCUUUAAAAAAUUGAGACGAUAUAAAGAAGAUUAGUACAGUUCUUGCGUAAGCACCAAAUCAAGAAGUGGUCCAAAUUAUUUUAACUUUUUAAAAAGGUUUAAAAGUCAUUUCUCUUUAACAAAAAAUUAAAAAUUCAACAUUAAAUUGUAAUUUAUCCAAUUUUAACAAAUAAGAAUGAGUCAAUUUUUAUAAUCUACAAUGAAUUCAAUCUUUUACCUUGGAAAUGUAGCCUCAAUUUUCAAAACUCUCUCUCCUACGGUCUUACUCUAUCUAAAUCUCAACUUCAAAAGUUCCUAAUGGAAAAAGAAAAAAAAAUUGAAGUGUAGACCCACACAUCAUAAUCGUCAUAAACUUAUUCAAUUUAUGAAUCAAUUUUGUCAAUCGUAAAACAAAUUCAACCUUUUUACCUUGGAAAUAGAGGAGUAACCAUCAACUCUAAAUCCUAUUUAAUUUUAAUAUCUUUAUCUGUGACGCUAUCUGAUUUUAACGUCAAAACUUUUAAUAACAAAAAUUAAAAUACACAAACUGAUUCAAACAUUAUCAUGAUUAUGAAAAGAAAGUCAAGAAUUGAUUCAUGAAACUACUUUAGAGUAGCAAAAGAAUAAUAACUUUGUAAAAAGUUGAAAGGAAUAAUUACUUUUGAAGUGAGAAAAAAAUAAAUAAGGCUAUUUUGUUCCUUACCCCAAUGGCCAAGUUGAGUGAAGACAAUGCAGUGCUGCUAGCCACUCUAAGCCUAUAAGUCUUGUUUGGAUGCACGUGAAUAAUCUGGGGUGCGUACUGCUCAUCUCCUCUUAACUUGCACUGAGGAACUGAUGAUUUGCUAAAUUGCGCCGCUAGAGAACAAUUGAAUUGACCUCUUCCAUUCAUCAACAAACUCUGGUUUCACAACAAAGGGAUAUUUAGGGCCUGUUUGGCCGUCAUUUUUUUUCAUUUUUUUUUUUUACGGAAUCAGUAUUUGAACAUAAAAAUUUCAAAUUUCACUUGAAUUUGAAUUUCGUAAUAUUUCGAAAAUUUGAAAAACUCCAAAGAGUUAUUUUUCAAAAUUUUCACUUCAAAUCACUUACAAAAUUCUAAAACAACUCCAAAUUGUUUUCAUAUACAAACACAACUCUAAUUUUCAAAUAUCAUUUUCACUUUAAAAAAAGUCACUUUUUCCGGAAUUUCAUAAUUCUUAUGUCCAAAUGCCCACUAAGGACCCGUUUGGCCAUAGAUUUUGUCAAAUUUUUGCCAAAUAUUUUUUGGCAAAUACAUGUUUGUUCAUAAAUUUUAUCCAUAUUUUGGCAAAUUCCCAAAACCCAAAUCCCAAGCCCAAAAUAUUACUAUUAAGUUUUUUUAAAAAUUAGCUCAACUUUUGUAUUUUAUAAAAGAGCCCACUAUUUAUUAUUUUGUAACACUGCUACUUCGUCUUCUCGGUCAUCUGAUAGUGUAUUCUGUAGUUCAUUAUAAAAAUAAUAAUUUUGUACUAAAUUUAUUUAUGUUCAGGACUAUGAUUUGUGAUAAUGAUAAUGAAUGUUAUUGAUGAAGAUAAUAUUGGGUAUUUGUGAUAGUUUUUAGAACUUGUGGGUAUAAGUCAUGUUUCAUGUUUUUUCAAAAAAUAAAAGUGAAAUAUAUUUUGAAAACUGAUGUCCAACCACGUUUUCAUCUUCAAACCAAACUUCACCCAAACCAGAUUUUUCGAAACAAAUUUGGGAAUAUAUGGCCAAAGACUAGCUAAGUGCAUGAUUUCUUUCAAUCUGUUGGUAAAUAAAGUUAUCCGAUACGUAUGCUGAUAACAAGCAACCCGUAAAAUUAAUCGAAGUGUAUACAAACCGACGCGGAUAUCACAAUUAUAAAAAAAAAAAAUAAGGAAGUAAUAUGUGACCUGUGGUUCACCAAUCCAACGAAAAGGCUUAGAAGAGAGGUCAAUUUGUUGAUCUUGGGAACUUUUGUGCCACCAAUCACUAAGUAAUAAAUUGAAUUCUCCAUCAUAGUGAAAUGGUUCUUUUUCAUCUUUUGCAACUUCCACUAUGAGUGAACCAUAUAAUCCUGCUGAUCUUUGCAUCCCAUAAUGUCCAUGGUAGAAAUAUGUCCCUGCCUGUUUUUUUUAAUACAACAUUAACGUCUUAAUUCCAAACAAGUUAAGGCCGAUUAUAUUAAUCUUCACUUCUUUAUAAGUUCAUUUCGUAAAGUAAAAAAUAAGUUAAAUAAUAUUUUGCCUCCCUUAAUAUCCAUGGUAGGAAUACGUCCCCGGCUAUUAUUUAAGUAUCACACAAAUAUAAUAAAUCCAAUUUCUUUUAAUUUCAUUUAAUUUUUGAAUUUUAAAAUUGGCUAUAUAAAUAUCUUGUUCACGUAAAAGUGAAUAAUAUUGUAUAUAGUGGUGACACUUGCUUUUUGGAUGUAUGGUCCUUGUGGGUCCUAAAAAAUCUAACUAUUAUAAAAUAAUUCUACCUUUGCUCCAUGUUACGUUUUGUUAAAUUGUUAUUGUUCAAAAAUAUUUAAUGUUAAAAACAAGAAGUAUAUUUUUUUAGUGGGCGUGUUAAUUAAGAAAGAUGUUCAAGAGAGAUAAAAAAUAGUCUCGACGAAUACUUUAUAAUUAAAAUAUAGAAAAUUUUAAAUAUUUUUUUAAGGGGGGUUCAAAAAACGUAAAAAACUCAUAGAAGAUAAUUCCAUUUUUUUUUUUGGUCUUGUGUGGGAGAGAAAUUACCUUGUCAACUAUAAACGUGUAAACAAAUGUCUCUCCAGGGUUAAUGGGACAUUGGGAGAUUGAUGCAGUUCCAUCCGCCCAUGGUGUUCCACGCUGUAGUAAGAAAUUUAUGAAAACCACAAAUGAAAAAAAAAAGGUAAGAAAUUAAUACAUAUUAAAAAAGAUUACGCAAAUGUUAGUUAAAAGGGACCCCUUGCAACCCUUCGGGGUUGAUCGGUUGGUUUCGAGGGUAGUCAUCCAUAUGGAUGACCUGCGAUCGAAUCCGUCGCCCAGGGCUUGACUAGUGCGGUUUACAUUCCCUGUGUGGUUUGCAUAUUAUUACACAUGAGGAGGUUUAGCCAAUGCACACCAAGUGUCGCGGCUGCGAGUUUCCCCACUUACCAAAAAAAAUAAGGGGGACCCCUUAUAUGUUAAAAAAAGGUUAUUGUAAUUUUAGUUAUUCAAGGGUUAAUUGAAUUUUGAUCAAGCAUAUAUAGAAGUGGUCUUUUUUUGUUCCUAACAAUACCAACAUCAGUCAAUCAAUCGUACCUUAAUCUUAAUUUAGCUAAAUUAUGUAAUAUAAUUAAUUCUCGUUAUUCAUUCCGCUUUAAUUAAUUCAUUUCUUUGUUUGGUACGAUGAUUAAAAGGACGAUAUAUAACAAAUAGAAAGCUAGCUUCCACUCAGAAUGAGAUGUCGAUAUACUAUAACAACAAUAUAAACAAUAAUCAAACCUUAUUUCCAAGCAAGUUAAGGUAGGUUAUAUAAAUUUUGCUCACGUCACUUCAUAAAGUCCGUCUCAAUUCAAUAUUAUUUUUAUAUAUAAUCAAAAUAAAAACAAAAAUGCGUUUUAAGUUCUCUAUAUUUUCUAUUUGCAUGCAUAUAAAUCUCUAAUAAAACUCAAAAAGUCCUAAAAGAACACCUAAUUAAUAUAUAUCACCUAUACACUGUGGCAGAGGCAAAAGCCGAGCUAUGGGUUCGAUAGGCCGAACCAAGUAGUUUUUGUUCAAACAAUGUAUUUUGUGUUAAAAGAAUUAUUAGCAAAACGUGUAUUUUUGUGUUAAGAAAUUUAUUGAAUAUAUACAAAAAUUAAAUUUAGAAUCCAUUCAUUAGCAUUUGAAGCCUUUGUUUUAAAAUUCAGAACCGACAUAAAAUUGAAAUUCUAGCUCUGUCUCGUAUUAUGAAGAUGCCAAUAUACUAGCAUUAAAAAUUCAUUGUGUGUGUUUUAUGUUUUUUGAGGGUAGAGGUGGAUUCUAACCUGUGGAAUUCCAUGCCAGUGAAUUACAACUCCUUCAGUAAGAAGCUUGUUAGUAAGCUCAACAGAAAUAGUAUCACCAGUUCUUGCCCUAAUAGUUGGACCAGGAAACUUUCCAUUAAUAGCCAUUACCACACCCUCUACACCGUCUGGAGACCAAUGCAUGUACUCCACUCUCCAUUUAAAUUGCCUUGUUUUGGCCAUGGCUGAAAUUGUUGACAACUCCAACAACAACAACAAAAUGCCUAAUAAAGACAUCUUUUUUAAUUCUUGAUAUAUGUGAAAAUAUGGGAGUAAAAUAAAAAAGAAAAGUUGAUCACAGAGAGAUAAGGAAAAGUUCCAAGCUCACACUAGUUGGAGCUUUGUACUUCAUUUAUGGAACUUUCAUAAUGCUGGAUUGUGUGUGUAUAUAUAUAUGUUGGCAAAGAUACACAAUCUAAGUUUAAGGGAGGGGGGGA